CGCUGGCGGCAGGCCUAACACAUGCAAGUCGAGCGGAUGAAGGGAGCUUGCUCCUGGAUUUAGCGGCGGACGGGUGAGUAAAGCCUAGGAAUCUGCCUGGUAGUGGGGGACAACGACUCGAAAGGGUCGCUAAUACCGCAUACGUCCUACGGGAGAAAGUGGGGGAUCUUCGGACCUCACGCUAUCAGAUGAGCCUAGGUCGGAUUAGCUAGUAGGUGAGGUAAUGGCUCACCUAGGCGACGAUCCGUAACUGGUCUGAGAGGAUGAUCAGUCACACUGGAACUGAGACACGGUCCAGACUCCUACGGGAGGCAGCAGUGGGGAAUAUUGGACAAUGGGCGAAAGCCUGAUCCAGCCAUGCCGCGUGUGUGAAGAAGGUCUUCGGAUUGUAAAGCACUUUAAGUUGGGAGGAAGGGUUGUAGUUUAAUACGCUGCAACUUUGACGUUACCAACAGAAUAAGCACCGGCUAACUCUGUGCCAGCAGCCGCGGUAAUACAGAGGGUGCAAGCGUUAAUCGGAAUUACUGGGCGUAAAGCGCGCGUAGGCGGCUUGAUAAGAUGGGUGUGAAAUCCCCGGGCUUAACCUGGGAACUGCAUCCAUAACUGUCUGGCUAGAGUACAGUAGAAGGGUGGUGGAAUUUCCUGGUGUAGCGGUGAAAUGCGUAGAUAUAGGAAGGAACACCAGUGGCGAAGGCGACCACCUGGACUGAUACU
This 714-nucleotide ribosomal RNA is filed under the name Pseudomonas sp. M9-1. RNAcentral's name for it is "bacterial SSU rRNA". It matches the Rfam family "Bacterial small subunit ribosomal RNA", at positions 34 to 741 of the family's 1533-position model. Lineage: Bacteria; Pseudomonadati; Pseudomonadota; Gammaproteobacteria; Pseudomonadales; Pseudomonadaceae. The record is from RNAcentral.